This is a non-coding RNA of Coturnix japonica (Japanese quail), 1332 nucleotides long. Lineage: Eukaryota; Metazoa; Chordata; Aves; Galliformes; Phasianidae. The record is from RefSeq and is a predicted model, not a curated record.
GAUACUCGUGGCGGCGGGUGGGCCCCCGAGCCGAGCCCGGCGGAGGAGGACGGUGCGAAGGGCAGCGGGAGCGAUCCGCUGCAGGCUUGAGGGACCGCGCGGGGCCCGGCCGUUUCCCUGCUGGUGAAAGCCGAGACAAAAGGUCCUGGAAGAGUUUUCUGCUCUAAUGUACCCUGCUUUUUUUCAACUGUGUUAGUUGCUCUGGUAAAUACCACCUUUCAUAGAGAUCUCACCUAAGCCUUGUAUGUAUGUCAGCAGUUUCAGGACUGGUUCAGCCCGGUUCUGUGACUAAUGGGCUGGUGGAACCCAUGGACCCACACCCCAGGAGAAGGGUAGCGAGAUGGGCCUAAAAACAAAACGGUGGCAACGAUCUGAGGAGGAAAGCUAACUUACUAAAAAAAGAGAUAUUGGAAUGCCAGAUAAUACAAUAUGAUACAGUGUAAUUGGAGUUGAAGCUAAUAAAUCAAAUAAAAAGAGAAAAAGAGAGUAUCCAAAAACCAAAGGCUUUUCUCUAAUACUGGAGGCAAGAUGUCUCCAGUGGCAAAUAGAAAGACAAAAGAGGGACAUGUCAUGGUCUGCAAACAGUUACAUCUCUCCCACUGAAUGGAAAAUGGAAACAGAACAACACAUCCUUCUGGGGGUUUUAAUUGCUUGAAAGCAGUUGGUGCUGAUUUCCUUAUCUGCUCUACAGGAAAAAAUGGUCUUCUCAAAAAGAUCAAAAGGAUUUAAGAUUUGGAGUCACUGUGGAAAUUAUUCAAAAAUUGCCAUGAAGGAGCCUGAUAGUGUAGCAGAUCCCUCUUCAGGAUAUGUGACAUGGCUGUACUGUGCAGGAAAAGCAAUCCUGAAGAAAAGAACAGCGAGGCAGAAAUGAGAUGAAAAGACGUCUGUCAAUGCUGCCUUCUUAUCUAUGAUCUGUGUGAGGGAGUAGAGAGCAAAAAACUGAAGUUUCAGUGUGCUGCAUAACCUGCAUUCAGCUUCUCCAGUCUAGCAGAAACUCCGAUACAGCUGUAAGUAUGAUUUAUUUUUACUCCUGGCACACAUAUAAUACACACACACAAACUAACAAACAAAACACUUAAGAAUGGUUGUGCUCUCAAUUUGCAAUUGCUGUUGCUUUUGUGUUGUACUAAUUUUCCUUCUUGGUUAAAUCUUAACUGAAACAAAAAUGUAUUAUUGUGAUUUUGGUGUUUCAUUAGAGGCUCAUAGAGUUACUAAUGCUUCAUCAACCCACCAAACUCAUUGUGGUUGCAAAGUUGAGCUUCAACACUGAUAGAAAUCAUAUAUUCUGUAGUUUUCAGUGCUUUUAAAUUAAAAGAACUUUUGUUACAAGCA